This 56-nucleotide transfer RNA is filed under the name Plateros sp. UPOL A00511. RNAcentral describes it as "partial tRNA-Ser". Lineage: Eukaryota; Metazoa; Arthropoda; Insecta; Coleoptera; Lycidae. The record is from RNAcentral.
AAAAACAUUUUCUAUGCUUUUAAAAAAGUUAGAAGCUUUUUUUAAAUUAUUUCUUU